Prionailurus viverrinus (fishing cat) is the source of this 3946-nucleotide long non-coding RNA. RefSeq lists it as uncharacterized. The record is from RefSeq and is a predicted model, not a curated record. The transcript has 2 exons. Lineage: Eukaryota; Metazoa; Chordata; Mammalia; Carnivora; Felidae.
CGGGCGGGGGAGUCCAGACGGCAGAACCCGCUCCGCGGGCUGGCCGACCCUGGGCGGGGCGCCGCCGGCCCGCAGCCCCGACGUUGCCUUCGGGGAGGCGGCGGACCGACGCCGUCCGAGUGGACGACGAGAGGCCCGAAGAAAGCCGCCGCACCGGCCCGGCGCCGCUGGCCUCCGUCAGUCCUCCCCGCUGCGCAGUUUACUUCCGCCGCUUUCAGCGCCGCCUCCGGCUCUCUGACCCUCCUCCUCCCCCCCUCCGUGCUCCACGGGCCCUCCAUGACCCCGACCCCUGCGCUUGGAGGCCUCACCCAGGACCCACGCCCUUGGGCCACCACAGCGUUCCCGCGGGGGCCCCUACAUCUAGAGUGCCUGCACGCUGACCCCAAGGGCCCUGGCCACAACCCCCUCCCCAGAACCGCAGGCCCAGAACUGCUGGGCCCACCCCCUUGGGAGCCCUGGAAACAGACUUCUUGAGACCCUGGCCUGCAACGGGAAAAACGGAGGGUAAGGUUCCUACAGCGCCUGCCUCCCUUCUCAUUUUAAGCAAAAAUGGGUACGUUGAAGUGGGCACAGUGCUGCUCCUUCUCAGCUGGCUUCUCCCCGUUACCAGUUCGAACAUCAAGAAAAAAAUAUUCCAUUUAAGUCGGUAUGUUUUCAGACUAUCAUUUUAUUAAAUACCGUAUCGCUUAGCUACAAUACGUUUAUCUUUAUAAAACUAAGUAAGUUUCUUUUGUAAUAAAAAUAACCUGACCUAGCCCUCCUUUGGCAGCACCGGAAACUGGGCUGGCUGAGGCUAGGCUUGUCCUCCCCUCUGAUGGCCAGCCUUCAUUUGCAGAGUACCCUGGGGGUCCACAAAACUGAGCCACCUCCACUGCCAAAUCCCUGGGGUUCCGGUGUGGCCUUGGGCAAGUCCAACGGCUGGGUCCAUCACCGCUGCUUAAAACAGCCAGGCUUAGGGGGCUUAGGACUACGAAUGUGAGGGCUCCAAGCGAGGACCCCCUCCGGCAACCACAUCUGUCAGAGCUGGGCCCGGGACUGCCCUCUCAACUGUGCCACCAGAAAUUGGGAAGAGGCACACAUCCCUUUCUGACACAGGAGGACCCUACUGGCCGGCCCUGUGCUGUGUCCCAACAAGCUUGUUGCCUGGACGUAGGACGUCGCUGUGUGUGUCUUCAGCUCAGUGCCCCCUCUAACCAGGAGUCUGAAGCUUAGCCUUUCCCUGGACUCAUGGGGGCAGCAGGAGGCAGGGAGGUGCAUGCCUCUCCAAGAGAUAGGCAACCCCACAAGCAUGCAACUAAAGAGCGGGAGUUGAGAGAAGCCAGCCCCUCACCCAGCCUCUAACAGGAAGCCCAGGAUCUCCCCCAGGCAGGGAGCAGGUAGGGGCCACCCCAUCCAGGAACAGCCACCAGAAGCCCCAGACAGUGCUCUCGCCCUGGACUUGCACCCCAGGCCUCUCUCUGCACCGUCAGACUCUCCCCCAGAUCAUCAGAGCAGCCUGGUGGGGUGCGGAGGAGACACAACACCACAAGGCCAGCAGCCAGCUUGGAGACGGGAGCCCGGAGGACAGACUGCAACCAGUUUAGAUAAACCUGGGUCUGGUACGUAACUAAGAGGCAAGUGUGCUGCAUAAAAUUAAGGCAAGUGGUUCAGGGUAGAGCCACAGGGGCAGACUCCCGGUCUCCCAGAAGACAGCUCAGGUGGCCUCAGAAUGCUCCAGAAGCAGGCCCCACACCGCACCGAAUUCUGUGUCCAGCACCUGUCCCACCUGGUGAAACAGGAAGCAAAGGAAGCAGAGGCACAGAAGCCCCAUCCCACGGUCACUGCCAGAGCUGCAGCAGAAAACCUCCUUUUUAAACAAAAACCCUCCUCCUACGUCAUGCCGGAAAAAGAACCCUCGGCUGACAACACAAACGGGCCUGCAGGCCUGGCUGCUCCUCACGGUGGCUGUGGGGUCCCCAAGGCCACUCCCUCGCCCAGCCGGCCGGCUCAGCGCACGACGCACACAUCCAGGAUGCAGAAGCGAGCACGGCAGGUGGGGCAGGGCACGCGGCUAGCGAGCCAGGUGUCAGGGCGCUGCGGGUCCUGGCGGCUGGCGAACCACUUGCCCAUGCAGGUGAGACACCACAUGGGGCGACAGUAACACUGCUGGCACUCGCCCUCGUCCGCCUCCUGGCAGGUCUUCACCAGCUUCACGCUGGCACGCGUCUGCAUGCAACCAAUGCAGGCCUCCAGCUCCUGUGGGCGGGCCCAGAGGGUCACCAGCAGUGUGGCCGCACAGCCUUGUGGGGCCACCCCCGACCCCCCGGCCCCGAGGGAGCCUGGCCUGUGGGAGUCCACCUACCCCGCCCGGCCCUCACCUGGCUGCUGGGAACCGAGUAGGUCGGAUUGACCUCCACCAGAGAAGCAAAUGUCUCCAGGAACAGGUCGCCCAGGCUCUGACGGAUGACCACGUUGGCCGCACUGCGGAUGGGCGCACGGAGUUUCUCACACAGCUCGCCAUACUCCGUGGAGUUCAGCCUGCACAAGGUGGGGACUGGUGGGCUGGGGCCGUCGAACCAAGGCCCUUCUGCAGGGCGGGGCUUCGUUCCUAAUGGGGAUGCCAAGGCGCCUCUAGGGUGACAGGGCACCCACGACCUCCCAGAACGCCAGGGGGCUCAGACACAGCCCAGCUGCCUGAUGAAGACCAGCCAGCAAAGACAGCCCUGAAGCCAGAGCCCACAAAACCAGCACCACCCACCUGCCCCAAAGGGAUGCAGCCAAGGGCAAAGAGGGACCGAGGGGGGGGUUGCAGCCGUAACACAGAACACCUGACCUUCAAUGGGGUCAGGCCCAAAGUGGGUCCCGGGAGAGGGACAGCAGACUGGCUGCAGCCUGAAUGGGAUGGGAAGACCCCAGCUUGGGCCCCAGAGCCAAGGCAGCCACCAAGCCUUGGUCCUGUACCACCCCCAAAUGUCCCCAGUGUGCUCCCCCGAAAAGAGCUGUGGAAGGCGGCUCAGAGUGCAUGGAAAAAGCAGCAGAGAAUACCUGGGAGCGCGAGGGGGCGAGGCGCCCGGAGGGAGGGUCCCGCUGGAGCGGUGGCCAGAAGAGCCCGCUCUAUCCGUCAUGGCCUCCCAGAGAGGCGCUAGACUGGAACCCGGGCACCGGCCGCCUCUGGCUGCACCAGACUUUCACCCUAGCCACAGGCACACCUACCGGAUGUCGAAGGCCUGCACAGCAGGGCUGGUGCUGGCCACGUGGAUGGUAAGGAGCUGCACAGGCAGGUUGGAGUCUGGUGAGAGCUCGUGCUGCUGCGAUUCUGUCACGGUCAGGUGCACAUCCUGCUGCUGAGCCACGUGCACACGGUAUGUGGUCACCUUCAUCACCCACGUGUCCGUCACAAUCACGCGAGCACCAGGUGCCCCUGUGGCAAACUUGUCGAUCCGCCGGAACUCGGUGUUGACGGAGGAGGCGACGGCCCACCAGCCUGACUGCGGGAGGGCAUAGAGGGCCAGGGUGCGGGCCAGUGGGUGGCAGGCCCACCGAUCCCAGGACCAGUAGUAGAUCAGGGUGCAGGCAACGGUGGGCAGGGUCACUGCCAGCAGGAGGAAGAGCCGCCAGGUCUCCGGGGCCUGGCUGGGGGAGUAGAGUUGCUUUUCUGAAGCUGCAAAGCACAUGCCCACGUAGUACCCUACAAAGGAUGGGGAGGGUCUCAGCAGAAAUCGGGACUGCCAAGCCAUUGUUCUCCCCUCCCAGUGCCCACCAAGGGCCACAGUGCUGUCCCUGUACCUCCAGGGGGGAGGGGUGCUUCCCCUCAGCCCCAGCCCCGGGCCUGGCCCUCUGCCCUGUCGGCUCCCACAGCCAGGCCAUGGCACCCCAGGGCAGGCGAGCCUUACCUGCCUCCACGGCUGGCCCAGUUCAACCCUUGCCCACGACAACGGUAAAAUAAACGAGGAAAACACGUUUUUAA